Molecule: ribosomal RNA, 1536 nt
Filed under: Klebsiella quasipneumoniae
Lineage: Bacteria; Pseudomonadati; Pseudomonadota; Gammaproteobacteria; Enterobacterales; Enterobacteriaceae
Description: 16S ribosomal RNA
Rfam family: Bacterial small subunit ribosomal RNA
Source: RNAcentral
UUGAAGAGUUUGAUCAUGGCUCAGAUUGAACGCUGGCGGCAGGCCUAACACAUGCAAGUCGAGCGGUAGCACAGAGAGCUUGCUCUCAGGUGACGAGCGGCGGACGGGUGAGUAAUGUCUGGGAAACUGCCUGAUGGAGGGGGAUAACUACUGGAAACGGUAGCUAAUACCGCAUAAUGUCGCAAGACCAAAGUGGGGGACCUUCGGGCCUCAUGCCAUCAGAUGUGCCCAGAUGGGAUUAGCUAGUAGGUGGGGUAACGGCUCACCUAGGCGACGAUCCCUAGCUGGUCUGAGAGGAUGACCAGCCACACUGGAACUGAGACACGGUCCAGACUCCUACGGGAGGCAGCAGUGGGGAAUAUUGCACAAUGGGCGCAAGCCUGAUGCAGCCAUGCCGCGUGUGUGAAGAAGGCCUUCGGGUUGUAAAGCACUUUCAGCGGGGAGGAAGGCGAUAAGGUUAAUAACCUUGUCGAUUGACGUUACCCGCAGAAGAAGCACCGGCUAACUCCGUGCCAGCAGCCGCGGUAAUACGGAGGGUGCAAGCGUUAAUCGGAAUUACUGGGCGUAAAGCGCACGCAGGCGGUCUGUCAAGUCGGAUGUGAAAUCCCCGGGCUCAACCUGGGAACUGCAUUCGAAACUGGCAGGCUAGAGUCUUGUAGAGGGGGGUAGAAUUCCAGGUGUAGCGGUGAAAUGCGUAGAGAUCUGGAGGAAUACCGGUGGCGAAGGCGGCCCCCUGGACAAAGACUGACGCUCAGGUGCGAAAGCGUGGGGAGCAAACAGGAUUAGAUACCCUGGUAGUCCACGCCGUAAACGAUGUCGAUUUGGAGGUUGUGCCCUUGAGGCGUGGCUUCCGGAGCUAACGCGUUAAAUCGACCGCCUGGGGAGUACGGCCGCAAGGUUAAAACUCAAAUGAAUUGACGGGGGCCCGCACAAGCGGUGGAGCAUGUGGUUUAAUUCGAUGCAACGCGAAGAACCUUACCUGGUCUUGACAUCCACAGAACUUAGCAGAGAUGCUUUGGUGCCUUCGGGAACUGUGAGACAGGUGCUGCAUGGCUGUCGUCAGCUCGUGUUGUGAAAUGUUGGGUUAAGUCCCGCAACGAGCGCAACCCUUAUCCUUUGUUGCCAGCGGUUAGGCCGGGAACUCAAAGGAGACUGCCAGUGAUAAACUGGAGGAAGGUGGGGAUGACGUCAAGUCAUCAUGGCCCUUACGACCAGGGCUACACACGUGCUACAAUGGCAUAUACAAAGAGAAGCGACCUCGCGAGAGCAAGCGGACCUCAUAAAGUAUGUCGUAGUCCGGAUUGGAGUCUGCAACUCGACUCCAUGAAGUCGGAAUCGCUAGUAAUCGUAGAUCAGAAUGCUACGGUGAAUACGUUCCCGGGCCUUGUACACACCGCCCGUCACACCAUGGGAGUGGGUUGCAAAAGAAGUAGGUAGCUUAACCUUCGGGAGGGCGCUUACCACUUUGUGAUUCAUGACUGGGGUGAAGUCGUAACAAGGUAACCGUAGGGGAACCUGCGGUUGGAUCACCUCCUU